AUUGAACGCUGGCGGCAGGCCUAACACAUGCAAGUCGAGCGGGGUUUUCGGACCUAGCGGCGGACGGGGUGAGUAAUGCGUAGGAAGCUACCCGAUAGAGGGGGAUACCAGUUGGAAACGACUGUUAAUACCGCAUAAUGUCUACGGACCAAAGUGUGGGACCUUCGGGCCACAUGCUAUCGGAUGCGCCUACGUGGGAUUAGCUAGUUGGUGGGGUAAUGGCUCACCAAGGCGACGAUCCCUAGCUGGUUUGAGAGGAUGAUCAGCCACACUGGAACUGAGACACGGUCCAGACUCCUACGGGAGGCAGCAGUGGGGGAAUAUUGGACAAUGGGCGCAAGCCUGAUCCAGCCAUGCCGCGUGUGUGAAGAAGGCCU
This 377-nucleotide ribosomal RNA is filed under the name uncultured bacterium. RNAcentral describes it as "bacterial SSU rRNA". It matches the Rfam family "Bacterial small subunit ribosomal RNA", at positions 30 to 417 of the family's 1533-position model. The record is from RNAcentral.